GGGGAUGUGGCUCAAGUGGUAGUGCGCUUGCCUAGCACGCGAGAGGCACUGGGUUCGAUUCUCAGCACCA
This 70-nucleotide transfer RNA is filed under the name Ictidomys tridecemlineatus (thirteen-lined ground squirrel). RNAcentral's name for it is "Spermophilus tridecemlineatus (thirteen-lined ground squirrel) tRNA". It matches the Rfam family "tRNA". From Rfam's summary of the family: Transfer RNA (tRNA) molecules are approximately 80 nucleotides in length. Their secondary structure includes four short double-helical elements and three loops (D, anti-codon, and T loops). The record is from Rfam by way of RNAcentral. Lineage: Eukaryota; Metazoa; Chordata; Mammalia; Rodentia; Sciuridae.